RNAcentral lists this ribosomal RNA (563 nucleotides) under uncultured bacterium. RNAcentral's name for it is "bacterial SSU rRNA". It matches the Rfam family "Bacterial small subunit ribosomal RNA", at positions 337 to 918 of the family's 1533-position model. The record is from RNAcentral.
UCCUACGGGAGGCAGCAGAGGGGAAUUUUGGACAAUGGGGGCAACCCUGAUCCAGCCAUGCCGCGUGAGUGAUGAAGGCCCUAGGGUUGUAAAGCUCUUUUGUGCGGGAAGAUAAUGACGGUACCGCAAGAAUAAGCCCCGGCUAACUUCGUGCCAGCAGCCGCGGUAAUACGAAGGGGGCUAGCGUUGCUCGGAAUCACUGGGCGUAAAGGGUGCGUAGGCGGGUCUUUAAGUCAGGGGUGAAAUCCUGGAGCUCAUCUCCAGAACUGCCUUUGAUACUGAAGAUCUUGAGUUCGGGAGAGGUGAGUGGAACUGCGAGUGUAGAGGUGAAAUUCGUAGAUAUUCGCUAGAACACCAGUGGCGAAGGCGGCUCACUGGCCCGAUACUGACGCUGAGGCACGAAAGCGUGGGGAGCAAACGGGAUUAGAUACCCUGGUAGUCCACGCCGUAAACGAUGAAUGCCAGCCGUUAGUGGGUUUACUCACUAGUGGCGCAGCUAACGCUUUAAGCAUUCCGCCUGGGGAGUACGGUCGCAAGAUUAAAACUCAAAUGAAUUGACGGCA